This 434-nucleotide ribosomal RNA is filed under the name uncultured bacterium. RNAcentral's name for it is "partial 16S ribosomal RNA". It matches the Rfam family "Bacterial small subunit ribosomal RNA", at positions 29 to 507 of the family's 1533-position model. The record is from RNAcentral.
AGCGAACGCUGGCGGCAGGCCUAACACAUGCAAGUCGAACGAACCUUUCGGGGUUAGUGGCGGACGGGUGAGUAACACGUGGGAACGUGCCUUUAGGUUCGGAAUAACUCAGGGAAACUUGUGCUAAUACCGAAUGUGCCCUUCGGGGGAAAGAUUAAUCGCCUUUAGAGCGGCCCGCGUCUGAUUAGCUAGUUGGUUGAGGUCAUGGCUCACCAAGGCGACGAUCAGUAGCUGGUCUGAGAGGGUGAUCAGCCACAUUGGGACUGAGACACGGCCCAAACUCCUACGGGAGGCAGCAGUGGGGAAUCUUGCGCAAUGGGCGAAAGCCUGACGCAGCCAUGCCGCGUGAAUGAUGAAGGUCUUAGGAUUGUAAAAUUCUUUCACCGGGGACGAUAAUGACGGUACCCGGAGAAGAAGCCCCGGCUAACUUCGUG